UACGGAGGGUGCGGGCGUUAUUCGGAAUUACUGGGCGUAAAGCGCGUGUAGGCGGGGAGGCAAGUCUGAUGUGAAAGCCCCGGGCUUAACCUGGGAAGUGCAUUGGAAACUGCAUUUCUUGAGUGCUGGAGAGGAAGGGGGAAUUCCCGGUGUAGAGGUGAAAUUCGUAGAGAUCGGGAGGAAUACCAGUGGCGAAGGCGCCCUUCUGGACGGCAACUGACGCUGAGACGCGAAAGCGUGGGGAGCAAACAGG
This 253-nucleotide ribosomal RNA is filed under the name uncultured bacterium. RNAcentral's name for it is "partial 16S ribosomal RNA". It matches the Rfam family "Bacterial small subunit ribosomal RNA", at positions 524 to 776 of the family's 1533-position model. The record is from RNAcentral.